AUAAAUGUUUUAAAUUUUGUGGUUAAACUUAACCCAAAAAUUUGACACGUUAAUAGUACAUGUGACUUUCCACAGUGACAGUCAUAUUGAAUAUUUUGAAGUUCAGGGCCCUACUUAUACAUCAGUAUUUGUUUAAAAUAUAUGUCAACAACAAUUAAGAUAUUUUUUUAGGGUGGAAAUACAGUACCCUCCCUUCCCCCCAAUACACAUUAUUGAAAAUGUGUUGGUGUUGCUAGGAUUAAAGAAGAAACUUGAAGCUAUAGUCAUUACUAAAACUGAGUCAAUUGUCAACUUGUUUGAAGUAAAUAUUCAAGCUGCAAGUACCAUGUAGAAUACUGUGAAACCCUUCCUGUAGAGGUGAUCCUUGGCACCAGUAGUGUGGAAGAGGAGCGAGAGGCACACCAACACCAGCAGAUGAGUCUCCGUUUAAUACUUGGGAUAUUAUAACAGUAAGUUAUAGCUCCAGAAGUCAGUCACCAGCAGCAGAUGUCACACAGUUAUAAAAUGGGAAACUUGAAGAAUAAGCUCCAGAAGUCAGCAGCAGCAGCCACCGUCACACAGCCAUAAUGCGAGAAGCUUGAAGAAUAAUGUGGUAGUGGUUUGGAUACAUAUUUCACCUUCAGUUUAAAAUUGAAGUUUGUUUAUAUUGGCAGGUGGUAACUCAGAGCUCUUUGUUCCAGUUAUGGCUCCGAUAGUCUUCCAGCAGCAGCAAAUGUUACACAGUCCUAUAGAGGCAAACUUGAAGUAUAAAGUAAUAGUGUUUUGCAUACAAUGGCAAACUUGACCUUUUGCUUAAAAUGGAGGUACAUUUGCACUGAGUUUAAUGUUAUGACACGUGAAUGGAUUACCAGUGAUGUAUAUCAGCAAUCAUCAGAUUGCAAUCCAGUUAAGUACCUGUGAGGCAUGAGAUGUCAAAAAUACUUGUGGGUUAUUGGUAGCCUGUGUCAAGGCAUGUGGCACCUCAAAGUUUGUAAGUACAGUAGCAUUUUGUUUUCUGCUUUACUUAAAAAUUGGUAGCUGUAGCACCCAUUCUGACAUUCAAUUAUUUUGAAUUUCAAGUUUCUUAGAAUGAUACAGACAU
Molecule: long non-coding RNA, 1081 nt
Organism: Schistocerca nitens (vagrant locust)
Lineage: Eukaryota; Metazoa; Arthropoda; Insecta; Orthoptera; Acrididae
Exons: 5
Source: RefSeq, a predicted model, not a curated record